UACGUAGGGACCAAGCGUUGUUCGGAUUUACUGGGCGUAAAGGGCGCGUAGGCGGCGUGUUAAGUCACUUGUGAAAUCUCUAAGCUUAACUUAGAACGGUCAAGUGAUACUGAUGUGCUAGAGUGCAGAAGGGCCAACCGGAAUUCUUGGUGUAGCGGUGAAAUGCGUAGAUAUCAAGAGGAACACCUGAGGUGAAGACGGGUUGCUGGGCUGACACUGACGCUGAGGCGCGAAAGCUAGGGUAGCAAACGGG
RNAcentral lists this ribosomal RNA (253 nucleotides) under uncultured bacterium. RNAcentral describes it as "partial 16S ribosomal RNA". It matches the Rfam family "Bacterial small subunit ribosomal RNA", at positions 524 to 776 of the family's 1533-position model. The record is from RNAcentral.